AUGGAUCUUGUUUGAGUAAUCGGAUACCUUCUGACAUUCAUUCGUGCAAUAAACAUGUAAGAUUUGGAAAACAAGUAAGUAUUGGAAUGUCUUGACAUCUUGUAGGGUGGAAACAAGUUCAUUGGUAACGUAGGACAUCAUACAAAAUCAUUAUGGAUCACAUGUUACUGAAUAACUUUGGAAACUUUCUUAAUAGAAUAAUUGUUCACUUUCAUGCCAAAGAUAUGGUAUAGAGUAUGCUUUACAUACCUGACUGUCAACCUUCAAUACUAGUCCCAAAUGGACUUCUCGUCUUUUCGGAUUACUU
Molecule: long non-coding RNA, 307 nt
Filed under: Capsicum annuum
Lineage: Eukaryota; Viridiplantae; Streptophyta; Magnoliopsida; Solanales; Solanaceae
Description: long non-coding RNA (CANN_LNC019086)
Source: RNAcentral